UGUUCCUCCCCUCAAUAAUGUUUUAUUUAAACUAAUUACCCAUUAGUAUUUUGCUGCCCAGUCUGUUAUUCUGGAUAGGAUUGGCAAAGGAUUAGAAAAUAAGCCAGACCAUAGUGUGCAUUAGGUUGUUAAUAAAAAAAUGUUGCAAUGGUUUACUAACAAAAGAAGUGGGCAGUACGGUAAUGCACUUUACAAAUAGAAAUCAAAUGGUCCAUUGUCCUGAGCAACAAAGAACUGCAAACCAAAUGUAUCUAUUCCCCUAAACAUUAACAAUGUCAAGAUUAUUUCAUGCUUGUAACAGUAACCUCAAUGUUCAAUCUUCUGAAGAUUGUAUUAAAAUCUCAGUAAUACUACCUGUAGUAUAUUUUGAGUUCCUUUUUCACUGGCUCCUAAACUUUCAAGAAAAAACUGUCAUAUCUGUCAUUUGCAAUGCAUGAUUUGCUAGUAUGACAGUCAGCUCUGUUGGGUUUCACACAUGCCAUGUUUAGUUUCUUUUGCUAAAUCUGUCACUGGCAUGGUGUAAGAAGCUGUUUGUCAGCACUCUGUGAUAGUUAUCUCAAGUUAAGUUGAUUUACAAUACAAAACAAGAGAAUGUGUAUAUCUGCAUGUGUAGUUAAUCUAUGAUUAUUGCUCUAGGCCGAGCGCUAUCUUCCAAGAGAAAUGAAGUGGCGUGGUAUUCCACGGGAGAGGUUAAAAGUGGCACAUUGUGCCCUUUGAUGGCAUGAUGUGAUGGGCAAACAUUGAAUUGAGCUAUUCAGGACACACCAUUGCUUUGUUGUGCAGUGCUUGUGAGGAGCUGCUCUACAUCCUUUUUCUAGUUUUAAAAUCUGUGUACCCUGCCAUUGCUGAUUCACUAUGUGGGAUUAAUCAAAACACAGAAGUAGAUGUAAGGCAAAGGAUGAUAAAAUGAAAUGGGAUAACAGAAGUGUUGCACUUGUGAGGUUGUCUCAUCACGACCAAAUAAGCAAUGUCUCUUUGGGGCAUCCUCAAACUUUUUUUUUUCUUAUUUGAGUGAUUUGAUUUCCUGUUUUAUUGUUCAGUUCAAGUUUUGUGUGUGCAUUAAGAUCCUGGUUUUUGUUCUUUGGUUAUGUUGCUUAGAUUUUGUUUCUGCUGUUAUUUUCUGGUCUGUUCAAUUUAUGGGUCCAAUCUGGUUUAAACUGUUAUCUAAAAACUGCAGAAUCUCUUCUUGUGAAGCCUUUUGUCCAUGUUUUUUCAAACUAUUUGUGUUUAGGUUUUUUGGUCAAAAUUCCUCCAAUCUUCUCCCCUACUCUUUGGGCUUUCUUAAAUUGUUUAGUAAAUCUUCGCCAAGUCCAUACUUUAUGAAAUAUCCUUUGACAAGCAGAAACAAACAUAAACUCUACGCUAGAUGCAGCAAAUACAUUUUUAUUGAUUUUCAGAUUUCUGGAAAUAAACUGGAAAUGAAAUAAACAGAACCAUUAAGAAAUUUACUGUCUGAAGACAUGUUCUACCUUAUUACAUAUUCUCCAAAGCACUCACAAAACUUAGCGUCCGCGGAUAGCUGUUUGUAUCCCUGAAAUCUUCAUGAAACUUUGAGAACUCGGUGACUUCUAGAAGUCUGGAAUGAGUUGUGGUCCCUAAAUCCUUAACUUCAUGGCUGAUUAAACUACUGUGAUCCUCAACGGAUGCUGGAUGCUGAUCCCACGCAGUUACACUAACAUGCAGACCUUGGGUGGCCGUCCAAGCUGGUUAUCAUGGGGUUUUUCGUCCUAGGGCAGGCAAAGAGAAAUAAUAAAAAUCAGAAUCAUCAAUAAUAUCCCCGCCUUAACUCUUCUCCAACCUUAAGAAGACAAUCAAACUUAAAAUCCACGCCCACCCUAAUUCCUAUAAAUCAGGCGGCUUUCUUAAUUAAUUCCAGUGAUAAUACUUUUCCCUUAAAAGUAUUCAUCAAUUAUGUAUUUAGCGCCCCCUCCAUAAAGGAUAAAGGAAUCUAAAGAAAAUGUUUGGAUAAUGAAUUGCAAUGGCCCCAUCCUCAUGACUGAACAUCAAGAGUCACUUAAGUGAACAUGGACCCCACCACCUUAUUGAAAACAACCUCCUCUUUAUUCACUAAAAUGAAAAAUCGACUAAGUGUUGGAGGAAAACUUACACUCAGCGAGCUGAUUACUGAGCUACAGCGGUGCAAGAGAGGGGACAUGACACUUCAAAAAGUUUUUGUUUAAGUUGCCAGUUCUGGUAUGGUAAUUUUUUCCUUGGGUACACUAUGGUUUGGUAUGGCUGUUAUAUGUAUAUGUGCAAAAAAAUUUAAAACAUAUACAGAAUUGCAAAUACAUUUAAUAUUAUAUUAUAUAUUAAUAUAUAAAAAAAUUAAAAAGCAUACAAAAUUGCAAAUACAUUUGAUAUAACACAUUAUAUAUUUAUAUUUUAUAAUAAUAAUGAUAUGUGAAUCUUUGAUAGUAUGAUUCUUUAUCAUUGAUCAAUGACAUUAUGGUAGUCACAAAAAUAAUUGUCUAAGUUGUUAGUUUUCGUCUCCACUCCUAGAUCUCUUAUUGUAAUCAAGUUUCUUAUGUGACAAAAAAUCCUAAUGACUAGUGGGGGUUGGGAUGUUGGAGUCUUUUGCUGUUGAGCCAAAAGCUCAAACUAUUGAUGCCCGAUACAAACACCAGAUUUAACCCGACCCAUGGGAGGCAGUUAAGCCAUGUCACGAGUCCCCAAGGAGGUGUUGACCACCAAGUCAACAAUGUGCCCUUCAGCACCAACUGAGCCUUCAGCACCCACUGAAGGGAGACUCGAACCUGUGACCCAAGGCUUUGAUACCACUUGUUGGAAUCAUUUUCCCAACGCCCGAUACAAACACCAGAUUUAACCCGACCCAUGGGAGGUGUUUAAGCCAUGUCAUGAGUCCCUAAGGAGGUGCUGACCACCAAGUCAACAAUCUCCCCUUCAGCACCCAUUGAAGGGAGACUUGAACUUGUAACUCGAGGCUUUUAUACCAAUUGUUGGAAUCAUUUUCCGUUGUGCCAAAAGCUCGAACUAUCAAUGCCCGAUACUAUCUAAAUUUUUUUUUUUUUUUUGUUUGGAUGGCCCUUGGGUUUGCCUAGAGUCUCACCUAGGCACCUUGGGUGAACCCAGAAUACUCCUUUCACAGGACCCACAGCGAAGUUGAGUGAACCCAUGGUGCUUGGACAAACCAAGGACACACUUGUUGUAGGACCUGUACCUGCACCUGUUCCGUAUGGGAUAGGGACUCCAUAGGGGUGUACCUAGUAACUUAGGUUUUUGUUGCUUUUGCUAAGUUUUUUCCAUCCAAGCUUCUCCCAGAUCUAAAAAGUUAUUGAAACCAGUUUAUUCUUUUUGUAUGUAAUAGGUUAUGCUAAACCUAGAUAUUAAAUAGCUUUGUGUUAGGCUUAAUAAGGCUAAGUUUUGAAUUUUGAAGAUCCAAUUGCUUAAAGCCUUAAAGCUAACAUACUGGACAUUGUGAGCUGUUAAAUUAGACUUAAUUUUGAAGUUCUUCCUUUUGGAUCUCAAUCAAAAUAAACCCAGUUCUCAUGGUGGUAUUUUAAGAUAUUGUAACGUUUUCUGGAUCUUUAGUGAUGCAGGAGCAUCUAGGGCUCUAGUGAUCUUGCAAGCCCCCCAAAAUUAUCAAUUUAUCUGUCAAUUUUGAUUUCUUGUUCUAAUUUUGUGUGUUGCAUUUCUUGUUCUAAUUUUGUGUGUUGCAUUUCUUGUUCAUGUCUGUGUGAGUGUAUUCUCCUACUUGGUCUCAUUCAUAUUCUUAGGCAUUAACAGAUUUUACAAAUGUUUACUUUCUAUAUUCUCUGUAGAGAAGUUCCUGGGGCCUACAUUCUGAAGUGCCACCUAAAAGAAUUUAACAAAUCGCUCUGAGCAUGUCUUCUUGCAUCAUACUACCAGCACAUGCCUUGUACUUAGUGCCUGAAGCUGAAGGUUCAAAAUUAUUCUGAUGCUGUGCAUUUCUUUUAGCCUAACUGCUGAUUUGAAUAUGCUUCUGGGGCCCAUGCACUCUAUGGCCCUUUCUGAAUAGUUAAGAUUCUUGACCUCUUGGUAGAUAUGUCAUGGGGUCCACAUACCCUCUUUUCUUUAAGAACUGUAUAAUUAAUAUUCAUUGCUGGAUGUAAUCUUUUUUAUUCUUGGCGGUAGUUAAUAAACAGUUAUGUCCUUGGUGGUUACUUUUUCAUUGAUGCAAUUUUUAAAGUCAUGUUGUUUUAUUUUAUGAGCAGUUACUAACCCAGUUGGGUUGGCAUUUUCUGCAUAAAACUGUCAGCGGCAGUUAAACUUUUUUAGUAUUAGUGCAUUAUGACAAUAUGGCAGUGACUGAAACAUAAAGAAAUAAAUCAGCCGACAGGGGUAAAAAAAUAUUAAGUUUAAAGGGGAGCCGUGGAAUCUUAUGAGGGGAGACAAGAAUAUUCAAGGCAUAUCAGAAAGAAGAAUCAAGGUGGAGGAACAAUAUAGGUGUAGCUGGGCCAAACCUUUUCAUACAAGGAUAUUCAGAUUCUUGAAGUUGUUGAGAACUGAAGUGAUAUGAUGAAGUUUGUGAAUAAAGAGAAGUUGCAAAGAUUAGCUGGUCCAAAUAGGACUAAUAUUAAUCAUUUGAAUCUUCAUCACUUUGUAGCAUGUUGUGAGGCUGUUUAGCCAAUAGACUUGUAGUUCUUCUGAAUAUUAAUAGACUUUGAUUUGUUGUUUAGUACAUUGUUAGUGAAAAAGUAAACAAGCUGCCUGAAAAGGUCCUCAGUAUAGGUCUGCAUCCCUUAGCAAUUCAUGUCCCCAACUUAGACUGGAAUAUAAAAUUUGAACUAGUUGCCGGUUUAUAAAAUUAUUUGUCAAGUUUUUUCUCCUUUGAAGUAUGAACAGUUUAUUAGAUAGAGUGUGUUAGGCUGGUCAUCUUAUGAACUAGUUAUGUGAUUGGCAUAUUGAAUUAGCAUUAGAUUUAAAUUACUAUUUUUAAGUAGAUUUAUUUUUGUAUUAAUUAUAUGGAAAGCUUAGGAUAAACUGGUUGUUUUUGAGUUUUUAAGAAGCCAAAACUAGAAAAUGUUUACAGUUAAUUUAUGAUGAUUGCCCUAGGCCGAGCGCUAUCCUCCAAGAGAAAUGGAGUGGCGUGGUAUUCCACGGGAGAGGUUAAAUGUGGCACACUAUCCCACUUGUUGUUAUGGUGUGAUGGGCAAAUAUUGAAUUGGGUUGCUCAGGCUGCACUACUGCUAUGUCUUGCAGUUCUUGCGAGGAGCUAACCCUACAUUUAGUUUUUUUUUUUCUAUAGAAUACUCUGUUCCCCAGUUUAUCAUAUGAGGAUGCACUAGCACAGAACUAAAAACACAGUACAGAGGGUAAGGAAGUGAAAUAGAACCUUUGUGAUCUUUACUUUUAUUGCUUUCCUCAUUCGUAAAUGACCUUAAGAUUUCUUUGUGGAUUUUGUCAUUUUGAAUAAAUUUAGAUUCGGAUUUCUUGAUGUUUGUAAAACAAGAAACAUUCUAUGCAUUGCUUUUUAGCCUCCUACACUCAUUUUAGUGUCUUUCUUGCAUUAUAGGAACUAUAUCAGGUUGAGCCUUGAGAUGCUGUUUCUCAGCUUCCUAAGCUUGAUGCAUUCAAGUGUUUUACAAGGCAACACCAGAAAAUAUUUUGUGAUGAUUGCCCUAGGCCGAGCGCUAUCCUCCAAGAGAUAUGGAGUGGCGUGGUAUUCCACCAGAGAGGUUAAUGUGGCACACCAUCCCACUUGUUGGCAUGGUGUGAUGGGCAAACAUUGAAUUGGGCUGCUCAGGCCGCACCACUGCUUUGUUUUGCAGUUUUUGCGAAGAGCUAACCCUACAUUUAGU
This is a long non-coding RNA of Cryptomeria japonica (Japanese cedar), 5780 nucleotides long. RefSeq lists it as uncharacterized. The transcript has 2 exons. NCBI's taxonomy places the organism in Eukaryota, Viridiplantae, Streptophyta, Pinopsida, Cupressales, Cupressaceae. The record is from RefSeq and is a predicted model, not a curated record.